Molecule: ribosomal RNA, 448 nt
Filed under: uncultured bacterium
Lineage: Bacteria
Description: partial 16S ribosomal RNA
Rfam family: Bacterial small subunit ribosomal RNA
Source: RNAcentral
CCCAGACUCCUACGGGAGGCAGCAGUGGGGAAUAUUGGGCAAUGGGCGCAAGCCUGACCCAGCAACGCCGCGUGAAGGAAGAAGGCUUUCGGGUUGUAAACUUCUUUUAAGAGGGAAGAGUAGAAGACGGUACCUCUUGAAUAAGCCACGGCUAACUACGUGCCAGCAGCCGCGGUAAUACGUAGGUGGCAAGCGUUGUCCGGAUUUACUGGGUGUAAAGGGCGUGUAGCCGGGCCGGCAAGUCAGAUGUGAAAUCCCAAGGCUCAACCUUGGAACUGCAUUUGAAACUGUUGGUCUUGAGUAUCGGAGAGGCAGGCGGAAUUCCUAGUGUAGCGGUGAAAUGCGUAGAUAUUAGGAGGAACACCAGUGGCGAAGGCGGCUUGCUGGACGACAACUGACGGUGAGGCGCGAAAGCGUGGGGAGCAAACAGGAUUAGAUACCCCUGUAU